RNAcentral lists this ribosomal RNA (419 nucleotides) under Salaria pavo (peacock blenny). RNAcentral's name for it is "partial 12S ribosomal RNA". It matches the Rfam family "Bacterial small subunit ribosomal RNA", at positions 781 to 1397 of the family's 1533-position model. The record is from RNAcentral. Lineage: Eukaryota; Metazoa; Chordata; Actinopteri; Blenniiformes; Blenniidae.
GAUACCCCACUAUGCCUAGUCUUAAACUUAGAUAGGUCAUUACAUGCACACUAUCCGCCCGGGAAUUACGAACACAAGUUUGAAACCCAAAGGACUUGGCGGUGCUUAACAACCCCCUAGAGGAGCCUGUUCUAGAACCGAUAACCCUCGUUAAACCUCACCCCCUCUUGUUCAAUCCGCCUAUAUACCGCCGUCGUCAGCUUACCCUGUGAAGGACUCGCAGUGAGCAUAAUCAGUCUAACUCAAAACGUCAGGUCGAGGUGCAGCAAAUGAGGGGGCAAGAAAUGGGCUACAUUUCCUACAAUAAGGAAACACGUCCGGUGCCCUGAAAGAAGGCACUGCUGAAGGUGGAUUUAGUAGUAAGAGGGGAAUAGAGUGCCCCCCUGAAGCCGGCCCUUAAGCGCGCACACACCGCCCGU